UGGCGGUUUGCAAAGCUUAUGCAGACUCUAUAAGCCUCUGGUCGACACAAGCCAAUUGUUUUUCGCCACACGUGCCACUUGAUAUAAAUAAUGAACUUGAAAAUCUGAGUGACCCUAGAGUCUCACCAAGCUGUGCCAAGAGCCAUUUUCCAUCCGUAUAUGCCAUGCCAUUUCUGACCCAUUUGAACACCUUAAUGGAUAAUUAUAGGAAUAUAUAUACACUAAAAGUCCUAAAACUUAUCAAGAAAAGUGCAAUUGAGUCUUAAAAUUUUCGAAAAAUGCAAUUAAGUCUUAAAACUUGUCACGAAAGUGUAAUUGAAUCCUAAAAUUUUAAAAAGUGCAAUACAAUCCUAAAAUUUAUCAAAUUGAUCCAAUCAAAUCUUUUUAUUAAUUGUACAUUUUGAAAGUUUUAAAAAUUGACUGUACUUUCAUGACAAGUUUCAGAACUCAAUUAUAUUUUGUGAAAAUUUUAGAACUCGAUUACACUUUCGUGACAAGUUUUAAAACUUCAAAUUCGCUUAUCUCAUAAAUUAUAAUAACAAAAAAGAAUCACCUCCUUCACGCUCAAACUCUAUCCAAAUUGAACGAAAAAUGAUGGAAAAGUUCUUCACUAGUAGAGAUUGUCAUAAAAUUACGAGAAUCAUCAUUGCUUGCAGCUUCUGAUGUAUAAAGGCUGUAGCUUAGUUUGCAAGCAGGGUCGUGACUGAGUGAGAUUCCUCAGAAAUAAACUGUACCAGUAAUUCGUGAGAAUCCUCGUUGGCUACAGGGUUUUGAUGACUACCAUAGGUUGCAUGACAGGUUUGCAGCACUCCAGGUUGUGAUGAUGUUGUGUUAUGAUUUUGUCGAAUUCGCUUGGAUAUCCUGAAUGUCCCACCAUACUUUAUGUUCUUUUUCAUGUUUUUGGAUUUCGGUCUGCUCUAUAGCACUUAACCAGUUUCCCUCUAGUCAAAGGAAGGAUUCCCAUUUAGAAUUGCUACUCGUAUGGUCGCUCUAUCCUCCGGAAUCUCACCACNNNNNNNNNNNNNNNNNNNNNNNNNNNNNNNNNNNNNNNNNNNNNNNNNNNNNNNNNNNNNNNNNNNNNNNNNNNNNNNNNNNNNNNNNNNNNNNNNNNNCCGGCCCCAAACAACAUUGCUCUGAACCGGAGAGCGAGAGCACCACCUUCUCUAUCAUUCCCAGUUUUUCUAGAAGUCGUCGUCUCCAGAAUUUUCAGAAGAAAAAUCAACUGCUAAGUGAGCAAGUUGAAGAGAGGCUCCAGUUCACUUCUCCAAGUGGUCACUCUGGAAUUGCCCGGAGACAAGAUCAGUCAAAGCCAGCUGUUAUGAAAUGUAAUCUGGAAAAUUAAGUAUGGAGACUUCCUCCAAGCAAGUGCUCUUUGGGCUGUUUAGUUCGGCUUUGGGUAAAAGGCAUUGGGAAAAUGCAAAUACCUUUCGGUAAAGGGGUUUUCGGAAAUAUUAUACCAUUUAGUAAAUUAUAACUUCAAAUAGCAUUGGAAAAUAGCCUGCAUAAACACCAUUAGGUAAAACCCACAUUUAAAAUGGGCUUUUGCUAUUUUUCUUUUUCUUUUUUAAAUAUGAAAAUUAAAUCUAGUUAGGGCCAGCCGUCUAACCACCUCCAGCAGCUAGAUUUGGCCGUCCAACUACCAAAUUUGACUUCUGGACGGCCAAAUCCAGCCAUUCGAUUGCCAGAACUAACGACCUAAGGUCGUGCAACCUCAAGUGUCGCUUGGAUCGCGACCUCAAGCCAGCAACCCAAGCAACGCCACCUAAGGUCGGGCAUUUAGGCAAUCGCCUGAGUCGCGGGUCGCACCACCAAGGCGAUGGUCGCCGGGGACGUGCGACCCUUAGGUGGCAGGUGAUGGUCGCCAAAGAAGCCCAACUCAAGCGACAGAUUGGGAGGAUGAACAGCUGUGAUGAAGGAGAAAGAAGAUGAACAAUGACAGGUAAACUGUAAAUUUAUCAUUUUCAAAACGCUAAAAACUCAAAGUAAGGGCCUGUUUGGUUUGGCCUUGGGGAAAUGCCUUUGGCCAAAUGCAAAUAUCUUUAGGGUAAAGGGAUUUUCGGGAAUGCUCGAACGUUUCACAAAUUACGCAUUGGAAAGUGGCUUGUGUAAAAUAGCGUUUGGCAAAACUUAUUACAAAUGGGCUUUUUCUUUUAAUUUUUUUUUUUAAAAAAAUCUGAAAAUCAAAUCCAGCGGCCGCGCGGUGCCGAACGGCCAAAUUUGGCCGCCUGAGGUCGCGACCUCAAGCGAUGCCAUUGCCGCGACCUCAGGCGCCUAGAGGUGCAGAGGCCAGAUCUGGCAGCCUGAGGUCACGCGGACCCAAGCGACGGGACCUCAGGCGACGUCGUUGCUGCCUGGAGGCGCGACCUCAGGCACCUGAGGUCGUAAAGGCCAAAUCUAGCGGCCUGAGGUCCGCGCCACCUGGGUCAUGCGUCACGCCACCCCCAAACGGUGGUCACCAGGGACGUGCGACCCUCAAGUGGCAGUGGCGGUGGCUGCCGGAGAAGCCUGGUGGCUGGGAAGAAGAAGAAGAAGACAAUCGGGAAAGAGAAAGAUGAAUAGUAGGCGUGGCAUUUCCCAAAUGCCGAAUGCUCAAUGCUGCCCUUCCCCAGCUUUCAGCAUUCAGCAUUCGGAAUACUCAUAUUUGGGCAAAAGAGCUUUCAAAAACUUUGCCAAACACCAAAAAUUUUCCCCAAGGGGCUUUGGGGGCCCAAAGCCCCUUGGGAGUGCCCAACCAAACGGGCCCUAAGUCCCUACUUACAUUGGGCUUUCAACAUUUGGAAUGCUAGCAUUUAACUAAAGAAGUCUAAAACAUACUUAUCAAAUGCUUUGUAUUUUCCCCAAGAAGCUUUGGAGGCCCAAAGCCUCUUGCAAAUGCUCCACCAAACGAGGCAUUUGUGCAGGUGUUUGGAAAAGCAAGAGUAAGGCAAACACUUGGUGAUAGUACUGUGUGAGAGUCAGUCUCCAAAUGUUGAAAAGGACGAGUCCUCCGUGUGGAGUCCACAAAUAAUACAUUGUGUGAGUAGUGUCGGUUCUUAUAAUAAUAAAAGAGUGUUCAUUUGAAUUAUCCAAUUGAGUCCAACAAGCAGUACCAAAGCAAGCAGUCGAGGACCGACGACCCAACAAUUGGAGCGUGGUACGCAAAGACCGUGGUCAAGGAACAUUGUAUGUAAAUAUUGGCUUAAUGUCAUAUUUUGUUGCAACACCGAUGCUCUCUCUAACCUUUGCAACUUGGCAUCGUUAGAACCGCCAAGCUAUCCCAUGCCACCUUUGGGGUCUUCGCAUUCUUGAUGUGCUGUAACAACUCAUCUUCAACAGUCACAACAAGUACGUAUAGCAUAUCAUCUACUUUGAUUUUCCACUUUCUUAACUCGCAAUCGUUCGUUUCGGUGGCAUGACUACCUACUCACGUUCAAUGGUCAUUGACAUUGUCUUCGCACACAGUCAGGGACCGAAGUGAGGAGCAUAGUCUCAUGAGUCAAGGGUUAUGGGACAUCAUUUGUGAUGCCCCCAAUACGUCACGGCUAAUAUGGAACUACUAUGACAAUUACCUUUUUCAUUUCGUUCUUUCUUAAACAUGUAAGGGAUUAAAUUAAUCAUGUGAUACACACAAUUUUUAAUAAAUAGGGCAAUUUCAUUUCUUCUUCUUUUUUAUAUAUGUACAUCAGACAACAAGUGGGGUGCAUUGAGGAAAUUCAAAAGGUCAGUACUACUAACUACAUUAUACGUUGUUCACCCAUUUCCACCUAGCUGUAUGCGUGUCGUCUAACCCUAGCCCCCGACACCAUCAAAAUCCUCCCAACUCCAAAAAUCCUGCCUCUUUCUAUGCUGCGAGGUUGCCUUUGUCUCUAGGCCCGUCAGAGAACAAUGGGAGUGGACUCACCGUGCGCCUGUUGACAUGGGCGUACAUCCCGACGAACUUGGCACACAGGCAUAUAUCCCAACGAAUCAAGUUCAUCGAGAUGUACGCCUGUGUCAACAGGCAUACGAUGGGUCCACUCUCACUGUUCUCCAACGUACAGUGUAAUCAGUAGUACUAGUACUGACAUUUUGAAUUCUCCAGUGCACCCCACUUGUCAUCUAAUGUACAUAUAAAUAAAUAAGAAAUGAAGUUGCAUUGUUUACAGAAAAUCAUGUAUACCCCAUUAUUAAUUUAGUCCCUUACACUUCCGCAUGUUUAAGAAAAAACUAAAUGGAAAAGGUAACUGCAAUAGUAGUUUUACAUUAGUCGUGACAUACUGGGGCAUCACAACUCAAAUGAUAUGAGAGCCACCUAUGGGUUAUGAGCCCACCACAUUUUCGCCACGCUACUCUGGUCAUGCGAGAUUUAAUCUGGAUAAAAACAGUAUCUGGAAAAUCGAGGUCUACGAACUUGUCCUCUUCUCACGUGAAGUCUAUUGGCACCCCAUAACGGACCAUCGGGGAGGUAGGUGGGAUCAAAAUUCUAUUGAUCUAAAAAGAUGAAGUCAACAAUCAAUGAGUCACAACCUAACAAGCAGAAGGUCCACCAGUCUAUACUAUGCAAAUCGAUCACCAUACUAACAAAGAAAGGCUCAACAGAGAGUUCAUUAAAUCGCAUGCACAUCAAAUUUUUCAAAAUAUAUGAUAGACCCAUAGGGGUAAUAACUUUUUCCAACGGAUAGCUAGUAGUUCAAUUCAAAAAUACCAAAUUCAUAAUCAAUAUAAAUUCAUGAUGCCAUCAUCAUUCGAGGGAAUCCCAUUACCUCUUGGGCAUCUUGCACCGAUCCGGCAUCGCAAGGGCAUCUAGAAGAACCACAUUACACCCCGCGCAUUUGGGGGAACUCAGUUGCCCCUUUAGGCAUUUCUACCAUAACCUAGGGCAUCGUUGUCCCAAGGACUAACGGCAUUUUCAGUCACACAUUCACACCAUAACGUAGCAAUUAUGUAAUACAAUUGAAAGUACAUUAACGUUACUACUAUUCAAGAACUCAAGCAUACAUCUAAUGAAUCAUCAAUCGUUUUCAUCCCCAAGACUAAUAUAAACCCAUCCAUACAGAGUUAAGUGAACGGUAAAGAAGAUCCUACAUCCUAGGCCUAAACUAGCCUUAUAGGGCGUCCCGCGCGCCUUUAGAUACAAUGGUUAUUGUCUACGUAAAUUCUUUUGAAAAAUUAUGAAACUUUAAUAUGAGAUAGACAAGACCUUGAGGGACAUUUUUUGCAAGGACUCAAAGUUCAAUUCAGCUCAUACAGUUCUAAAUAAUUUUUGCAAUCCGAGCCCAAAACAGUCAAAAUUUCCUAACAAAAUUGAGUAGGAAAAUAAAUAUUUCGUCCACCAAAUGAUACCUAAAAAUUAUGAAAAUUUAAUAUGUAGUAGCCUAGGAUGUACUCUACAACUUUCAUGAAGGAAACAUGUUAGAAUCUGGACCUAAAAAUCUAUAGGAAAUAGAAAACGAGGAGAGGUCGGUGCAGUAAGUCCUAAAACAGAUUUUGAAUCCCAAAGUUUUCAAAUAUAUUUUUGCCGUAUGACAGUCCAAAAAUUAUGAAAUUAAAUUAUAUCGUAGAAUAGCCAAUAAGGGUUGACUUUUAUGAAGAAUGCACCAUUAAAUUUGCACCACAUGAGUCGGUACAAAAUUAGCAAAAUUCGCAGUCGGGCUAGAACCUGUGCCCUCAGUCGUCCCAGCACGGAUUUAAUUCAGAAUUUCGACUAGCUCAGCCCCUGCAUGUGCUAAAUAUCAACCGACCAUGCUCCUACGACCCAACCACAAGUUUGGCCAUUUUGAACUCGAUGAUGUAUCGAGGUAACGUGAUCGAAACUUCUGUCUAAACGAAAAUCUAAACGACGUUCAUGAAUUUUCUAGGAAACUAUUUACGUCGACAAACGAUCGAUAUAGGAUAGAACGGAUCUACUUACCUCGGAUCCUUGUGUAUGGCGGUCGUGACUCGGCAGGACAGAGGUGAGGCUGACGGCAGCGGCGUGCGUGGCUGCGAUGGCGAGGGACGGUUUUCGCUGCUUCUGCGGUUGUGUUGCCGAGUGAGGUAAGGGACGGCUGAGUUUUGAGGAUGAAAGUGGAAGUACGAGUGGUGUCUCUUU
This 6049-nucleotide long non-coding RNA is filed under the name Eucalyptus grandis. Its description in RNAcentral is "long non-coding RNA (EGRA_LNC001770)". The record is from RNAcentral. Lineage: Eukaryota; Viridiplantae; Streptophyta; Magnoliopsida; Myrtales; Myrtaceae.